This 608-nucleotide ribosomal RNA is filed under the name uncultured Basidiomycota. RNAcentral describes it as "eukaryotic LSU rRNA". The stretch from base 184 to 337 matches the Rfam family "5.8S ribosomal RNA". Lineage: Eukaryota; Fungi; Basidiomycota. The record is from RNAcentral.
CAUUAAUGAACCUUUGAGGAUUGAGCUGGUUCUUACAAGUGCUCAUCCUCUUAUCCUUUUAUACACCUGUGCAUCUUUUUCAAGGGAGAGAUUAGUAGGUCGCUUGCGGCUGAAGGUCCUUCCUUUGUUUCUUACAUACACUUUAUUUAAUCAUUGGAAUGUAAUUUAUGAAAAAUAAAAUACAACUUUUAACAACGGAUCUCUUGGCUCUCGCAUCGAUGAAGAACGCAGCGAAAUGCGAUAAGUAAUGUGAAUUGCAGAAUUCAGUGAAUCAUCGAAUCUUUGAACGCACCUUGCGCUCCUUGGUAUUCCGAGGAGCACGCCUGUUCGAGUGUCAUGAAGCUCUCAAGCGAGUCUUUCUUCUUUGCAAAGAGAAGAGGCGAGUUUGGAUUUGAACUUUGCUGUGUAACAAGCGGCUGGUUCUAAAAGUAUUAGCUGAUCCUAGUAAGGCUUGGUUCUACUUGGCGUGAUAAUUAUCUAACGUCAAGGACAUUGUUUCUUCAUUGAAAGAAUGGCCAGGCUCUGAUUAGGAUUGCUUCUAAUCGUCUUCAGUGACAAUUUAUUCCAAAUCUGACCUCGAAUCAGGUGGGACUACCCGCUGAACUUAA